Molecule: transfer RNA, 70 nt
Filed under: Marmota monax (woodchuck)
Lineage: Eukaryota; Metazoa; Chordata; Mammalia; Rodentia; Sciuridae
Description: tRNA.Ala
Source: RNAcentral
GGGCUGGGGCUUAGUGGAAGAGUGCUUCCCUAGCAUGCAUGAGACACUGGGUUCGAUCCUCAGCACCACA